This 305-nucleotide ribosomal RNA is filed under the name uncultured bacterium. RNAcentral's name for it is "bacterial SSU rRNA". It matches the Rfam family "Bacterial small subunit ribosomal RNA", at positions 333 to 631 of the family's 1533-position model. The record is from RNAcentral.
GGAUGCCUACGGGGCGCAGCAGUAGGGAAUUUUCGUCAAUGGGCGCAAGCCUGAACGAGCAAUGCCGCGUGAACGAGGAAGGUCUUCGGAUCGUAAAGUUCUGUUGAAGGGGAAAAAGAGCGGAGAGAGGAAAUGAACUCCGAUUGAUAUUACCCUUCGAGGAAGUCACGGCUAACUACGUGCCAGCAGCCGCGGUAAUACGUAGGUGGCGAGCGUUAUCCGGAUUUAUUGGGUUUAAAGGGUGCGUAGGCGGACUGUUAAGUCAGCGGUAAAAGCCCGGGGCUCAACCCCGGCGAGCCGUUGAA